Molecule: ribosomal RNA, 406 nt
Filed under: uncultured bacterium
Lineage: Bacteria
Description: partial 16S ribosomal RNA
Rfam family: Bacterial small subunit ribosomal RNA
Source: RNAcentral
AUUGAACGCUGGCGGCAGGCCUAACACAUGCAAGUCGAGCGAGCGGCGGACGGGUGAGUAAUGUCUGGGACACUGCCCGAUCGAGGGGGAUAACUACUGGAAACGGUAGCUAAUACCGCAUAAUAUCAGAUGCGCCCAGAUGGGAUUAGCUAGUGGGUGGGGUAACGGCUCACCUAGGCGACGAUCCCUAGCUGGGCGGAGAGGAUGACCAGCCGCACUGGGACUGAGACACGGUCCAGACUCCUACGGGAGGCAGCAGUGGGGAAUAUUGCACAAUGGGCGCAAGCCUGAUGCAGCCAUGCCGCGUGUAUGAAGAAGGCCUUCGGGUUGUAAAGUACUUUCAGUGGGGAGGCGUUACCCGCAGAAGAAGCACCGGCUAACUCCGUGCCAGCAGCCGCGGUAAUAC